Molecule: long non-coding RNA, 800 nt
Filed under: Danio rerio (zebrafish)
Lineage: Eukaryota; Metazoa; Chordata; Actinopteri; Cypriniformes; Danionidae
Description: si:ch211-157l15.4 (ENSDARG00000096774.3)
Source: RNAcentral
UUGGGCCUGGAUAACGAGCAAGAUAAGGUUGCAUCCCGUUUGGAGGGACGGGGAAUAUAUAUAGAAUAAAUUCUGUUCCACAAUAACCUGUUGGGUGACUGUUCCAGACAUCUAAUGGAGCAGCGGUGGCAUUUACAAGAAUUCUCUACUGAGGGUGUCAGCCAUCAUUUCAAUCUCAGCUGAGAGCUUGUCAGGUCAAAAGGAUCUACCGUGGCAGACUUCCCUCCAUUGACACACUUGUUCGGAACCCAAGGGAGAAAGUGUGGAUUCCAAACAAACAACAAACCAUUUACACAAAGCAAUCCAUACACAAGAAUUGCUCAAUUCCUUGACGCACGUCAAAGAGGGCAUUUUCCGAACGCCGCUACAGGGACUCAUCUCCGAACUACAGUAAAGCAGACAAAUCCGGAGUGUGAAGUAUUUGUGAAUGGAAAAUGCUUUAGCACGCUUGGCAGGGAGGAUCGUUCCACUGCUUAUCAGACAGACUAUUACAAUUCUUCCUCUCUGCACAAGCAGACACACAACAGUAGGAGGAGGACGGAAGAAAACAAGGAGGAUAUGCUCUUUUGACCUGCUUCUCAAGGUCGCUGUUGAAGAGAUUCAGCAUGGUACAUGCUAGGUAUAUGCAUAGUGUUUGAAGAAAUCCAUGCAUCUGUAAACUAGGGCUGGGAUACAUGUGCCCAUGACAUUCGCCGGGUGUUCCCCUGCGUUAUCGCUGGAGCCUUCCCUCACAUAAUGAAUUAUGCCAUGCUGAUAAAGCAGACAGCUGUGUUGGGGGGGCGAGCGGGGGGUUGCAUACA